Molecule: ribosomal RNA, 620 nt
Filed under: Clostridioides difficile
Lineage: Bacteria; Bacillati; Bacillota; Clostridia; Peptostreptococcales; Peptostreptococcaceae
Description: partial 23S ribosomal RNA
Rfam family: Bacterial large subunit ribosomal RNA
Source: RNAcentral
UUUAACUGAGCGUUCAGUUACUUGACGUAGACCCGAAACCGGGCGACCUACCCAUGAGCAGGAUGAAGCGAAAGUAAAAUUUCGUGGAGGUCCGAACCCACGAGCGUUGAAAAGCUCGGGGAUGACUUGUGGGUAGCGGUGAAAUUCCAAUCGAGCCCGGAGAUAGCUGGUUCUCCCCGAAAUAGCUUUAGGGCUAGCCUCAAGGUGAGAGAUACGGAGGUAGAGCACUGAAUGUCCUAGGGGGUAUUGCACCUACCGAAGACUAUCAAACUCCGAAUGCCGUCAUCUUAUACUUGGGAGUCAGACUGUGGGUGAUAAGAUUCAUAGUCGAAAGGGCAACAGCCCAGAUCGUCAGCUAAGGUCCCUAAAUGUAAGUUAAGUGGUAAAGGAUGUGGGAUUGCACAGACAACCAGGAUGUUGGCUUAGAAGCAGCCACUCAUUCAAAGAGUGCGUAAUAGCUCACUGGUCGAGUGAUCCUGCGCCGAAGAUUUCCGGGGCUAAAACUUACUACCGAAGCUACGGCAUCAGUAAUGAUGGGUAGGGGAGCUUCCCAUACGGGUUGAAGCAUGACCGUAAGGACAUGUGGACAGUAUGGGAGUGAGAAUGUUGGCAUGAGUAGC